GUAUUAAAAUACGCGGUCACGUUCUCGACUGGUUCAAAAGGGUGUGUGUGAUAAAAAGCUCUCAAAAGAGAGAGCUUCGAGGUGCACAAGGGGUGAAUGAAGGAAGAUGUGGUGUGCACUUGUGAGAACCAGCACGACCACGGUUUUCUUUCUCUAAUGAUCCUUCCGCAGGUUCACCUACGGAAA
This 186-nucleotide unclassified non-coding RNA is filed under the name uncultured fungus. Its description in RNAcentral is "sequence contains ITS1". The record is from RNAcentral. Lineage: Eukaryota; Fungi.